AUGACAGGAUCCAACUCGAGUGUACAUGGACAUCAACAUGUGGAAGAUGAUCUCCCAAAAACUCGCGCAACACUUGGCGAUAUGAUUGAGGAGAGUAUAGUUGCAGCUAUGCGAAGGAUGUUCGGUGGUCGUCUUCCUAUCACGGGUAAUGGGGAUCAACAUCAACACAGCCCCGCUGCCUUGCUGGCCGCCGACAACCGGCAACGUCAAGAACACAACGAUCGCCAUGUUGGUCGUGGAAGAGCGGCACGAGCUGCUGCCCAUGGCGCCCCUGCUGUUGGUGUUGAACGGAGGCGUGGCGACUUUGCUGCCCCCUCGUGA
This 321-nucleotide ribosomal RNA is filed under the name Triticum aestivum (bread wheat). Its description in RNAcentral is "partial small subunit ribosomal RNA". The record is from RNAcentral. Lineage: Eukaryota; Viridiplantae; Streptophyta; Magnoliopsida; Poales; Poaceae.